AAUUCUGGUUGAUCCCGCCAGCGACCAUUGCUAUCCGGGUUCGCCUGCCAUGCAAGGCGUGAGGUGCAAGACCUCGCCGAACUGCUUCGUAAUGCACAGUCAACUCCCCCUAAAGUGGGAGAUACACUCGCGAAAGUGAGCUCAAUAUCCCAUAGCUAUAGAAUUCUGGAAUGAUUCUAUGGCAAAAGCUCCGGCGCUUUAGGACAGGACUGUGUCUGAUUAGGCAGUUGCAGGGGCAAAGACCCUGUAAACCGAUAAUCAGUACGGGCUAUGGAAGUAGACGCCCGACGAUGGACUCUGAGACAUUAGUCCAGGUACUACGGUAUGCAGCAGGCGCUAACUCUUCGCAAUUGGCUAACGCCAGACGAGGGAACCUGGAGUGCUCUUGCUUUUUGCAAGAGCUUUUGCCGACUGUAAACGGGUUGGUGAAUAAGGGCUGGGUAAGACGGGUGCCAGCCACCGCGGUAAUACCCGCAGCCCGAGUGAUGGUCACGAUUAUUUGGUCUAAAGCGUUCGUAGCGGGCCUGAUAAGUCCAUAGUGAAAUCCUGCAGCAAACUGUAGGGCGUGCUAUGGAUACUAUUAGGCUUGAGACUGGGAGAGGAUAGAGAUACUUCUAGGGUAGGGGUUAAAUCCUAUAAUCCUAGGGGGAUCACCAGUGGCGAAGGCGUCUAUCUGGAACAGGUCUGACCGUGAGGAACGAAAGCUAGGGGAGCAAUCGGGAUUAGAUACCCCGGUAGUCCUAGCUGUAAACGAUGCCCACUUGGUGUUGCAUACCUUUCGUGGGUAUGCAGUGCCGGAGCGUAGGUGUUAAGUGGGCCACCUGGGGAGUAUAACCGCAAGGUUGAAACUUAAGGGAAUUGGCGGGGGAGCACACAAGGGGUGGGCGUUGCGGUUCAAUUGGAUUCAACGCCGGAAAUCUUACCAGGAUCGACAGCAGGAUGAGGGUCAGUCUGAAGGGCUUACCAGACAAGCUGAGAGGUGCUACAUGGCCAUCGCCAGCUCGUACCGUGAGGCGUGCCGUUAAGUCGGUUAACGAGCGAGACCCACAUCCUAUGUUGCAAAUCUAUUCUUCGGAAUGGAUGCACUCAUAGGAGACCGCUGGUGAUAAACCAGAGGAAGGCGUGGGCGACGGUAGGUCUGAAUGGCCCGAACUUCCUGGGCCACACGCGACGCACAAUGCAUGCCACAAUGAGACGCAACACCGAAAGGUGAAGCAAAUCCCCUAAAAGCAUGCCCAGUUCGGAUCGAGGGUUGUAACUCAUCCUCGUGAAGCCGGAAUCCCUAGUAGGCGAAUGUCACUAUCGUUCGCCGAAUACGUCCCUGCUCCUUGCACACACCGCCCGUCAAACCAAUCGAGUGGAGGUUCAUCGAGCCUAGCAAUAGUCGAGUUGAUCCUCCGCGAGAGGGGUUAAGUCGCCACAAGGUAGCCGUAAGG
This 1436-nucleotide ribosomal RNA is filed under the name archaeon. RNAcentral describes it as "bacterial SSU rRNA". It matches the Rfam family "Archaeal small subunit ribosomal RNA". The record is from RNAcentral.